AGCGGGUAUUGAGAAAUGGCGUCUCGCUAGGCUCAUAACCUAGACAACAGGUGGUUCGAAUCCAUCGCCCGCUACCA
This 77-nucleotide transfer RNA is filed under the name Vreelandella sedimenti. RNAcentral's name for it is "tRNA-Met". It matches the Rfam family "tRNA". Rfam says of the family: Transfer RNA (tRNA) molecules are approximately 80 nucleotides in length. Lineage: Bacteria; Pseudomonadati; Pseudomonadota; Gammaproteobacteria; Oceanospirillales; Halomonadaceae. The record is from RNAcentral.